This 373-nucleotide ribosomal RNA is filed under the name uncultured bacterium. RNAcentral describes it as "bacterial SSU rRNA". It matches the Rfam family "Bacterial small subunit ribosomal RNA", at positions 28 to 403 of the family's 1533-position model. The record is from RNAcentral.
GACGAACGCUGGCGGCGUGCUUAACACAUGCAAGUCGAGCGGUAAGGCCCUUUCGGGGGUACACGAGCGGCGAACGGGUGAGUAACACGUGGGUGACCUGCCCUCAGCUCUGGGAUAAGCCUGGGAAACCGGGUCUAAUACCGGAUAUGACUCCAUGACGCAUGUUGUGGGGUGGAAAGCCUUGUGCGGCUGAGGAUGGGCCCGCGGCCUAUCAGCUUGUUGGUGGGGUGAUGGCCACCAAGGCGACGACGGGUAGCCGGCCUGAGAGGGCGACCGGCCACACUGGGACUGAGACACGGCCCAGACUCCUACGGGAGGCAGCAGUGGGGAAUCUUGCGCAAUGGGCGAAAGCCUGACGCAGCGACGCCGCGUG